AUUCAUCAAAGGGAAAGCAGGCCAUAUUCCAGAAACUAAGCAGGAUAUAGAACUUAUAAGAAAUGGUUUAGAUGGGCAAUUUGUUGUUGAAGCUGAUGUAAGAGUUCAAGGCUUUAAGCGCGGAACUGAGAACCUAAUGAGGAGUUUGCAGACGAUAUCUUCUUUGCUGCAGAAGAAGUCCAGUUCAGUUGCGUCAAAAUUUGAGUUGCCAUGCACUAAUGCUGAUGGUUCUGCAAAACUAAAUCAUCAAACUUCAGAGGUGAGCUGCGACUUAAAUCAGGGACAAUUGUUCCAUUUUUUUGAUAUAGGUGGUUCUAGGAUUUGGGUUGACUUUAUAGACAUGUUUUCAAUCACCAAUACUAUUAUUGGUUUUUCCUUUCAUCUGUAUAGGAAACCUUAAAAGUCGAGCUCAAAGCAGAAACUUUGCUUACAAGUCUGUUAAGAGAGAAACUGUAUACUAAAGAGAUGGAGGUUGAGCAGUUACAGGCAGAACUGGCAGCAGCAGUGAGAGGUAAUGAAAUCCUCAAAUGUGAAGUCCAGAAUGCAAUGGACAAACUUUCCUGUGUCAGCCAUGAGUUGAAAGACUUUGAACUUCAGAUGCGGAAGAAGGAUGAGAAUAUGAGUCGGCUUCAAAAUGACCUUCAAGAAUCAAUGAAGGAGCUAACAAUAAUAAGGGGUAUUCUACCCAAAGUUUCAGAGGAGAGAGAUAUGAUGUGGGAGGAAGUGAAGCAAUACAAU
RNAcentral lists this unclassified non-coding RNA (738 nucleotides) under Hevea brasiliensis (rubber tree). The record is from RNAcentral. Lineage: Eukaryota; Viridiplantae; Streptophyta; Magnoliopsida; Malpighiales; Euphorbiaceae.